CGCUGUAAACGAUGUCGAUUUGGAGGUUGUGCCCUUGAGGCGUGGCUUCCGGAGCUAACGCGUUAAAUCGACCGCCUGGGGAGUACGGCCGCAAGGUUAAAACUCAAAUGAAUUGACGGGGGCCCGCACAAGCGGUGGAGCAUGUGGUUUAAUUCGAUGCAACGCGAAGAACCUUACCUACUCUUGACAUCCAGAGAACUUUCCAGAGAUGGAUUGGUGCCUUCGGGAACUCCGAGACAGGUGCUGCAUGGCUGUCGUCAGCUCGUGUUGUGAAAUGUUGGGUUAAGUCCCGCAACGAGCGCAACCCUUAUCCUUUGUUGCCAGCGGUUCGGCCGGGAACUCAAAGGAGACUGCCAGUGAUAAACUGGAGGAAGGUGGGGAUGACGUCAAGUCAUCAUGGCCCUUACGAGUAGGGCUACACACGUGCUACAAUGGCAUAUACAAAGAGAAGCGACCUCGCGAGAGCAAGCGGACCUCAUAAAGUAUGUCGUAGUCCGGAUUGGAGUCUGCAACUCGACUCCAUGAAGUCGGAAUCGCUAGUAAUCGUAGAUCAGAAUGCUACGGUGAAUACGUUCCCGGGCCUUGUACACACCGCCCGUCACACCAUGGGAGUGGGUUGCAAAAGAAGUAGGUAGCUUAACCUUCGGGAGGGCGCUUACCACUUUGUGAUUCAUGACUGGGGUGAAGUCGUAACAAGGUAACCGUAGGGGAACCUGC
RNAcentral lists this ribosomal RNA (717 nucleotides) under uncultured bacterium. Its description in RNAcentral is "bacterial SSU rRNA". It matches the Rfam family "Bacterial small subunit ribosomal RNA", at positions 798 to 1515 of the family's 1533-position model. The record is from RNAcentral.